GCUUGCUUCGGCAGGACAUAUACUACAACUGGAAUAAUCCAGGGGAAAUUAUCAUGGUCCCUGUGCAAGAAUGAUAUAAAAAUUUGUGAAGCAUCCCAUAUUUUU
Small nuclear RNA from Sorex fumeus (smoky shrew), 105 nucleotides. Lineage: Eukaryota; Metazoa; Chordata; Mammalia; Eulipotyphla; Soricidae. The record is from RefSeq and is a predicted model, not a curated record.